Non-coding RNA from Schistosoma haematobium, 45 nucleotides. The record is from Rfam. Lineage: Eukaryota; Metazoa; Platyhelminthes; Trematoda; Strigeidida; Schistosomatidae.
AUCAAGCUGGCGAGUCCAAAAUAGGACUAAACGCACGUCCUGGAU